RNAcentral lists this ribosomal RNA (411 nucleotides) under uncultured prokaryote. RNAcentral's name for it is "bacterial SSU rRNA". It matches the Rfam family "Bacterial small subunit ribosomal RNA", at positions 505 to 918 of the family's 1533-position model. The record is from RNAcentral.
GUGCCAGCAGCCGCGGUAAGACGAAGGAUGCAAGCGUUAUCCGGAUUCAUUGGGUUUAAAGGGUGCGUAGGCGGCCCUGUAAGUCAGUGGUGAAAUCCCUCCGCUUAACGGAGGAACUGCCAUUGAUACUGCAGGGCUUGAGUACAGAUGAUGUUGGCGGAAUAUGACAUGUAGCGGUGAAAUGCAUAGAUAUGUCAUAGAACACCGAUUGCGAAGGCAGCUGACAAAACUGUAACUGACGCUGAGGCACGAAAGUGUGGGGAUCAAACAGGAUUAGAUACCCUGGUAGUCCACACUGUAAACUAUGAUCACUCGCUGUGUGCGAUAUACAGUACGCGGCUAAGCGAAAGCGUUAAGUGAUCCACCUGGGGAGUACGCCGGCAACGGUGAAACUUAAAUGAAUUGACGGGG